Molecule: long non-coding RNA, 1787 nt
Filed under: Anser brachyrhynchus (Pink-footed goose)
Lineage: Eukaryota; Metazoa; Chordata; Aves; Anseriformes; Anatidae
Description: lncRNA (ENSABRG00000018337.1)
Source: RNAcentral
AUCAGCUGCACCUUUAGGAGAGUCUCCAGAUGGCUCUUCGGGGAGAGAAGUUAGAGACUGAUCAACGUCCAAAAAAAGUAUCUCAUCGGGUGGCAAAACACCGGCUUCACCUUGUUGUGCCUCCCAAGGACAACUUGAAAAGGGCAAAGUGGAGCUGCCCCCGUUCCCCUUGUGCGGGGCUCAGAAGACUGCUCACGAGCUCUGGUGGCAGUGUGACCUCAGGAGCUCUCCAGGAUGCGCAGUCUGGGGUUUUAUGCCCAAGCCUGUCCCGUGCUUGGCUAACGGCCUCGCUAUGUCGCAGGAUACUGAGCAGAGCUGCUGGGGCGUGCUAGCCUGGGGGAAGCCACGGAGCCACUGGGUGCCCAGGUAAGGAAUGGAGCUGGGAUGUGCCGUGGGGACCGGCUGGAAGGGAAAGGGAACAAACUGCUAUGGCCACUAGCCUGCGUCAGGCCGCUGGGAACGUGGCUGAAAUGAGCCCUGGGAGCGCCCCCCUUGCUGCGUUCCUGCCCUCGGGUGCAGCGCUGUGUCCUGAUGGAAGGAGGGAGCCCUUUUUGCCCCCCUAGAAGGGAUUGGCGCUGGCUGGGGGAUGUUGCCCCAUCCUGUUGGGUCCCCAAGGUGAGAUAAAAGCACGCGUUCAGCAGGACCUGCUGCUGCCAAGUCCCUGCCCUGCUCUCGUCCCCGGCCCGCUAAGACAUGUGAAUGAAGCCAGGGGGGUGUAGCAAAGCCAGGAAACCCGCCGUGCUUUUAGGAAAUAGCACACUCUGGAAACUGUCCCACUUUCUGGAGAAGUCUGGGCUCCUGACAGAAGCAUGCUUUAGAUAAAUUGCUUUCGUUGGCUUGUUUGAUAUUAUUCGUGUCUUUACAUACGUCAGGAGGGAGGGGGAUGCAUAAUGUUAGGGGGGCUGUGUGUUCGCUUCGCUGCCUGGUGAGCUCUGGAGCCCACCUCCCUCAGCAUCCUGCUCCCAAGGGAUACGAGGCUGGGCAACGAGCCUGCUCCACCUCAGGGAGACCAGCCCUGGCCCCCAGCCUGCCCUCGUCACAGAGGGGACAGCGAAGGCGUUUUCCCUGGCAGCAGGCAGCGCAUGGCCCCGAACAUCCCCUCUCUGCUCAGCCCUAAUCCAAUUCAGCCCCCGUCCUCCACUUCUCCCCUGCAAGGCUGCGGGCGUGAGAGGCCGGCUGCUUUGUUUGGGGCUGCACAGAUUAGCUCUCCCCUCGGGAGCAGCUUGCUCAGCUUGCACUCGAGAUAACGGGGCCGUGUCCUCCCGGCUGUCGGACUCCUCAGCAGCUGCCGGAGCUGUGAUUAGCCUCAAUUUAUGCAGGCUGUUAAACAAACACCUGCAAGCUUCGGGGGCAGAGAAGCCAAGUCAUUUUUGUAAGCAGCUAGGCACGUAUUGAACUGAGAACGCCGUCCUUUUCUUGCAGGGCUCUCGGAGCUUCCAGACAUCUCUAGUUCCCGUGACACUUGUAGGGCUACGAGCCAGAGAGAACGCUGGGCACUGUGGUGACUCUAAUAUUGUGUGAUGUUCUCACAGUACUGGGUUGAUUGCGGUGGGGACGAGCACAGUUGUGACUUCUGGGGCUGCUGCAAUAGCCGACAAUUUCUAACCUUGUUCUGCUCUUAUUGCUUUCUCUGAUGUUUGCUGUUCUCUGUAGCUUACCCCUAAUCCCCAGCAAAAGCCCUGCCAUUAUUGCCAGCAGUGUGAUAGGUAACGUAGCAGGGGCACCGCGAUGUCAAGAUCUAUUGAAGUGUUAAUAAAAGGGCUUACUGUGGAGAAAAGGAAAUCCUG